This 200-nucleotide ribosomal RNA is filed under the name uncultured bacterium. Its description in RNAcentral is "partial 16S ribosomal RNA". It matches the Rfam family "Bacterial small subunit ribosomal RNA", at positions 524 to 723 of the family's 1533-position model. The record is from RNAcentral.
UACGGAGGGUGCAAGCGUUGUCCGGAUUUAUUGGGUUUAAAGGGUACGUAGGUGGCCUUAUAAGUCAGUGGUGAAAUGCUGCAGCUUAACUGUAGCACUGCCAUUGAUACUGUAAGGCUUGAGUGUCGUUGAGGCAGGCGGAAUUUAUGGUGUAGCGGUGAAAUGCAUAGAUACCAUAAAGAACACCGAUAGCGAAGGCA